AUAGCAGCUUGGCAUUUGUAUUGUACAACAUAGUGGGCUCUAUAUAGAUGUCCGGUAAUUCUUAAUAGACAAUUGCAUGUUCUACUGAUGCAAACCUUUUCUUUUCAUGCCUCUAUGAAAUUAUGUCGGUUGUUUUAUUGUGAUUUGAUGCCUUUGAUGACUCGGCAAAUAGGAUUUUUGGAGAGUAUCUGUUUGUCAUGUCAGCCUUGUUGCACUAAUCUUUUGAUUAAACAAAACAUUGGGUGGUUGGUAGUUGCUACUUUUUCAAUCAAUAUCUGUAGUCACUGUAUUGUGCUUGUCUGCUGGAUUAGAUACCUCAAUUGCAUAUCCUGUGGAUUUUGAUUUUUAUCUAGCGAUAUAUUUUGAAUAAUUGUAAAAUUAAAAUUCUGGUGGACUGUGCAAACACCCGUUUACUUCCACUAAAUUCUCAUGAACCAAGAUUUCAAGAAAUUCUAGGGUAUGCUGAAUCUCGUUUCUGAGUUUGGAACUGAUAUUUGAUUUUACUUUUAUGGUGUACAACCCCUUCUGAGAAGUAGUUAGAAGUAAUUCUUCCCAACAAAACAUGCAAGUGAAUUAACUUAGUAGUACACUAGUGGUCUAAAAGUAUUUGGUCUUAGACUGUUUUAGGACUAAGCAAGCAUGGAACCUAAUACUAAUGAACAUGGAAACGUGUAGGUGUGUGUAUCUAGCUUUUACCUUGUUUGAGGGUAUUUGUGAAGGUGAACAAAGUGAUUGGUGAUCACUGGCAACAACUGACUGCAUUAACAGGACGGACAACAAUAAUUCCCAUUUGAUGUAAAAAAACAUGUUUUGUUUCGUGCAUAGUCCAUUCCUAUAUUGCAACCAGAGCAAACUUGUUGAUGAAGAAUGAUGCUUUCCUGGCAGGAUGCAAACAUGGCAAAGAACUGAGAUUUUAUGCGGAAGAACAUAGGUAGGUGAAGAGCUUCCACAAGUGACAAGUUGGCGCCCAACAGUAUCAGAAAAAUUCUGUUCAACUUGCACCAAUUAAGAAAAGAAGACGUAACAAAUAGACUUGAUAUUUCCAGCUUGUUCAACAGAUGGCAGCUCAUAUAAUUACUUCGGUAUUUCUUGAUAUCUACUUCAAUUUUCUUCUGAUAAUUAUUGAUGCAAUAUGAUGUUGUUCUUGUAUGUUAUAAGCUAUUUGAACAUGAAAUUUUCCACCCUUAUAAAUUUUAUGUUUCGUUUGUUGUAUUUAACUGUUUAUAAUAUGCAAGUUAAUUAUAUAUUUUGACUAGUAUGAAUUAUAUAUAACAUUCUCCACUUUCUGUCUUCUUUUCUACCUUUCCUUUGAUGUGCACUAAAGCUCCCACCAACUUUGUUCUCAUAUAUUUGUGGACCUAUAAAGAAGCACCAAAGAGAAAUAUUAUUUAACUCCAUAUUAGCCACUCACUUGUGCUUUUCCUUUAGCUGUAGCUGAGAAAUAUUAUCAAGCUAUAGUGAUGCAUUUCUUUUUUUGUUUAAGUUUAUUCUGAAGCAAGGCAUCAGAAUCUUGUUGAACAAAGAUAUGAAAGGAACACAGAAACACCCAAAAGUAUAGGUUGUGACACUAGGUAUGUGGUCUUAAUACACUUAUAGGGGGAAUAUCAAUUCAGAAUAAAGUUGCCAAAGUGCUUCUUAUACAGCUUGCAGAAAGGUGAUCUUUUAAAGAGAAAAUAGGGCAGUUUUGUCAUAAACCAAAAAAGUUUGUAGGAAUGGGAAUGGUCAUAUUGGUAAUGAGUCUUGACCCAUUUGUCUAGUGGGAGGGACCAAAAAUAAUAUGUGCAAGUGAUAUAGGUGGGCGCUAGGCUUUUCGUGAUAGGUGCUGCAGCAACAGGGAUGAUUGUACCACCAAACGAAGUUUCACAAUGAGAGGAGAGAACACGAAAAAAUUUAGGUAGAAGUAUGAUACAACACAAAAUUAAAAUCUCACUCAACAUAUAUAGAUUCCACAAACUAUUUUCAAAGCAAAACAUGAACAACCUAAGAAAUUAGUUGAACUAUGUGAAUGAAUAUUGAAGAGUAGUUGAAUGGUGGACAGAAUUAUAUCAGACCCAAGCAUGUGUUUGAUCAUAUCGGACAUGUUCUUGUACCUGUCUCAUCAGUGGUUAGAUAUAUGCCAAUUUAUUUAGUCCUUUCCCUUUUUUUCCAGUCUAGGGGAAAAAAAAGGAUUUAUUUUGAAUUAUUGAUGUUUUACUUCUUGCCCCAUGAAUAAACUGUUUUUUAUUUAACUUUAUUUUAUUUUUUAGUUCAGAUUUUGUUGUCGAUUGAUGAUUAGAUCUUUAGUCCUGCACUUCACCUGAUUAAGGAGAAGAUUCUUGCUUUAGAAGAACUUUUAGGAAAUUUGAGAUUGUAAUGAUACCUCCCCAAAGGAAGGGAGAAUCUUAAAACCCGUUUAGAGCCAUUCAAAUGGAUCACAAUGAGAUCUUUCUAUGAAAAGAUAGAUACCCUUUCUUUAUGAACAAGAGGAAGGCAAUGAAUUAACUAGGACAUGGAUUCUUGCCUUUCAUUUCAGCGGUUAGCUGAUUCGAAUUGGAUUUUUCAGCCCAGUCUGUGAAUUUUAGCAAGAGAAGAAAGUGAUUUAGAGUGAUUAUCAUUCUUAACUCUUAAGUAGAGAACACAGAGAAGAAGUCAGAACGAACGUGAUGUUUAUACUGGUUGACUCGGACUCAUCUUUUACCUAUGUUUGGCUGUCAAAAGCAGUUGGAUAUUUCGCCAAGUUGGAAUUGCAGGAAAAACAGUCAGAUUAUAGCAUUUCACCCACCUCAAAGAGUGCAUUCUGACUCAACAAAUUUGGACUGAGCUUCGGAUGACAUGGCCUCUUUAGCUAAGAAAAGUCCAAACCAAAUUAAUUUUUACGUGUACAACCUUACUAGGUCCCUUAAGUUUUGCCCCCAUUUGUCUUCAUCUAAUAGUUAAACUAAAAUUUAUCAUUCUCUUCCUUCACAAACAAUUCCAAGUCACUCAAUUUAAAUUAAACUUUCGAUUUUGAUAAUAAUUAACACCAGUCAAUUGAUUUUCAUCCUAAGAUGCAGAUAACAUACUAGGACCUUGGAAUACACCAAGUAAUUGAAGACCAUAGCAAAGUUCCUAGAAGAAAUUUCGUUGGAGUUACUCGUGACAUUUCACGGUGAACAAAAAGAUUUAUAAAGCUUGGUGAAAGCUUUGGUUUCCAAGUUUUGUAUUCGUCUCAAGGAAUUUAUCUUGCUGAUAUUUUACCGACAUGUAAACUUGGAAUUGUCUGGAUUACCUGAUGCAGUAACUAUUAUACUGGGAAGCCUGCAUCUAGCUGCAAGUCAUUUUUUCUCAGGGCCACUUUAAGAUCAAAUAGGUAUAUAAGCUACACACAUGAAUUAUAUAUACUCUUGACAAAAAUGAAAGAAUCUUCAAAAUACAACAAGAGAAACAUCUCAAAAAUCAUAGAUAAGCUUUCCUUAGGUUUUAAGGUUAAGAACAUCAACUCUCAUGCCAAUAUUAAUUCUAAUAUUCAAUAACUCAAAUCUUAACCAACAUUUUCGCUUAAGUCCUUGGUAGAGCACGGAAACAUCAAAUUCACAUAUAAAGCUUAUCAUUUCAAAGUUUUUAGAACCAAGCUUUAACCUGUUUAAUAAGGUCAUCUGCAUUCUCUGGGUUGCAUCUGAGUAAGUGAAUUACAAUAUCCAGACUGAGGUCCAUGAGGAAUGCCUCUUUGCGGAUUUUGUUCCUGCAUUCUUGGUCCAUAUGUAGAGGUCCCACGAAUAAGUGCCAUCAACUGGCUUCUAUUUGGCAGGUUGAAAGUCAUGAGUGAUCCUUGAUUUGGCAGGUUCCAGUCAUAUAGUGAUUUGUCCAUGCCAUUCAUAUUUGAAUGCGGUUGUGUCUGCUGUAUGACCUUUAUACAGUUAUCGGGCGAAGUAGGUUUAUCAUUGUCUGGCGAAUUAGAUUUGGAGUCUAUGAGAUUGACUGUGGUGAUAUCGUGGAUGCUUGACCUUCUCUUAUCCUUCCCUCCAGAAAGCUGUCUUAUGAAAUAUUUCUGAGCAUGACUAGCAACCUGAGUUGGUGUUCUAGAGGUCACAAAGUUGCGAGAGAUAUUUCUCCAGUCUCCUUUACCAUACUUUUUAAGCCCCAGCAGAAAUUGCCUGAGGUUUUGUAAUCAAUACAAUGCAUCAAAUAUUUAUCUAACUUAUAAAGAAUAAAUUAAACAUUGCAAACAACAUAGCCACCAAAAGAAAACAUGAAUAGUAAACCAUUUCAACAUGCAAAAUUUUAGAAUUAUCUACUCAAGAUAUUAUAAGAAUACAGACCUGUUCACUCUACCUUUCUGAAAUUUUCAAUUGUUGUUAUCAUGAUUAAAAAAAUAAAAAUAUCUAAAACUGCUUGUAUAAUAUGCACAGAAUUAUUUAUAUAUCAAGUUGAUAACGGAUUCAUAGUCUAGACUAGUAGGUCUACUUGUAGACAGGCUGCCUUUUGACCUGGUUAAGCAACUACUUAGUUAAUAAGUAUGUUAAUUAUAAGAACAAAUAUUAACAUUUUAAUUAGGUUGAUAUUCUGAUACAACUAAACAUGUACCUGUGCUCUUCCUCUGUCCAUGGCACACCUUUUUUCCUUUCUUGAUCAGAAGGCUGAGUUGAUGAGCUCCUCUUUCCACCUGGAACAUAGAAAUGUUUCAGGCCAUCGAAGCCUUGAUGGUUCAUCCAAUCCAGUGCGAAAGAAUCAGUGGCGUACCCGGGUACUGGUAUCAACCCUGCCUCUAUAUCACUAACAUCUUCUUCCAAUUUUCUGUACUGUUUGAUCACAUCGUUCACGGUCUUCCCCGGGAUCAUGGCUGCCACAUUGUACCAUCGAUCUGGAGUAUCCUUGUCAAAUAAAGCAAGAGCAUUCUCAAACUUUUUGUUCUCUUCUGGACUCCAUUUUGUUUCCCUUCUUUCCUCGAAUAACCAGUUUGAGUCUCCAAGAUAUGAUGCUCGUGAGAGAAUUUCUAAUCCCUGAUUCAUUGUAAUUAAGUGAUCAGGGUAUAGUUGUUGAACAUAGGUAGACAUAGGUAGAAGCCCAAAGAAUUACCAGUUUUAGUUCACUUUCUCUCUUCUCUCAAUUGUAGUAGAGGUUUCUAUGAGCAGACAGACAUUAAACCAAGUGGGUAUUUAAAGGGGAAUCUGAAUACUUAUUGACAUAAGCAUGAGAUGAGGAAUCUAAAAAAGACCCAACUUUCCCAAACUAGGAAAUGCCAAAAAACUACAGAAAAAACAGAUCUUGGUUGUGAAUAAUAGAGAUUAGAGCUUUGAAUCAGAUCUCAAAGCCAAAAAAAUCAAGACCAGCAAACCCCAGUUUUAGUUUUCAAAAGUAUUAAGAAAAGACUUGAGCUCACUUAGUUAGACUCAGAGAACCAGUGAAACUAAUGCUAUUAGUAGAUUAAAUGAGUGAAACAUAUGACGGAAAGCUGUACAAGAUACAGACUCACUUGGGAAAAAAGCAGUGAGCAGAGAAAGUCUCAUGAGUUGGAGGAGCAGUAAAUGUAGAUAACUUGAAAGAAAGCAAGGAACAAGUAAAAUCCAAACUUGUCAGCAAAUUGUACUUGUUUGUAAGAGGGAAAGAUUUACAGAAACACAAACAUUAGAAGUAGGAGAUAUUUGGGAGAUCAUAUGUGUUGAGAUGUGAUUGGCUGGGAUGGUGUUAUGGGAACUGGUGCUAAGGAAAAGUUUUAUAAUCAUUUAUAGAGAGAGAGAGAGAGCUGCCCAAUCAAAAGACAAAAGGACAAUCAGUCAUUGCACAUGACCAUUUUGGUAAUUUUAAAUAAAAGAAGAGGAAGCUUGGGAAUGGUGGUGUUGAUAAUUUAGCUGUGAGCUCCUGGCAUUGCCAAUUAUUAUGCUUAUUUUUCCAUUGUUUUGGUCUAUUCUACUUGGUGCAAAAACAUGUGCUUGUUAUAUACUACUAUGUCUUAUAAUCAAGGUUGGUGGUCUUCUUCACAUUCCAUGAUUCUAUAUAUGUGUGUGAGAGAAGUGAAGUUCCAUAAAUGAAAAUACAGCUGAAUAAUUAAUACUUAGACCAUUCAACACUUAUAUAGGUUCUUUCAACAGUUGUCAACCUUUUUUAGUACCCGUGCUACCCAUCUAUAUCUAUUUCACUUGAUAACCGAAUCAAAUGGGUAUUUAUUAGUCAAAUAAAUUAAAGUCUAUCAAGUGUGUAUGGAUGUGUUGUUUGGGAAGUAGUAAUCUCUAAAUGAGAAACUAUCCAUUUGAAAUUUCUAGCACACAACUGGAUCUGUGACUAGUGGCUGAUCCCUCCUAUUAGUCAGUGUAAGAAGGCAAAACUUUUGCAGUAUAAUUUUAUUUAGGAACAGUGGAUGCCCUAAGUGUGUGUUUUGGUGUUGAGAAGAUGCCUCAGUAUUAGAUAUAAGACAACAUUGAUCAUUUGGUUGCUGCAUACCUAUGUUAUUGUUGCAUUAUGGCUGAUCAUAUGAAAGUGACUUAUUUAUUAUAAAAUUUGAGAUUGAAGAUUUUGUUAACAUAAUAAAUUGUGAUAUUUAGCUCUUGUUUCUAUGGAGGAUCAAUUUGGUUUGCACAUUACAUCCCCCUAAGCAGAUUCGGACUUUAUUUUUCUCAAGUAUUAAAAAGUUUAAGGUAUGUUAAAGUAGUCAUUAACAUAACACUAGGUUAUAGUCCUUUUGGAUUAGGUGGAGAAUACAAGUAAGAAUAUUAUUCAAUCAUUCAGAUGUUAUGCAGGAGUUCAAUGUCCGAAAUUGUACUCGAUGAGCAUAUAUAUAUAUAGAAGUUGUGUAGUACACAGUCGACUAUGGCGACGGUUUUUUGGGCUAUAGCGACAGUUUCACUCGUCGCCAUAACUAUUCUGGGCUACGGCAACGGAUGAACCGUCGUCAUAGCCCAAAAAACUUGUCGCCAUAGCCGGACUGUGUAAUACACAGCUGUGUAUAUACAUAUAGCCCAUAUAUAUAUACAGCUAUGCAUACUCCAAAAUGUACAUAGUUUAUGAUCGUAGAGUUAAAAAUUGUGCCCCUUCAUUGUUGUGCUUCAUAAUUGUCACUUUAACUAAGCCAAGUAGGCUACACAAAAUAUUUCCUCUGUUUCAGUUUUGAUUUGUCCCUGGCAGUUAUCUAAUUGCACAAUAAACAAUAAGGCCAUUUUACCUCUUUCCACUUCUUAUCAUAUUUAUUCAAGUAUUUUGAUUUAGGUUCUCACAUUUACACAAUAUUACUGCUAAAUAAAGAAAAAAAUUCUAAGUUUUUUUAUUUUGGUGGCUGUUCUAUUGUUUGUGACUUUUCAUCAAAUUGGAAUUUUGGUUUAAAUCAGAAUAGUUAUGUGUAUUCCAUCUGUUGCACAUGAUUAGUGUCUGCUUUGAAAAGAUAAAAGAAUUACUUAGUGGUUAGUAUAUUAGUAAUAUUCUUGAAGAAAAUGCUUUGCUAUUGUCUCCCUUUAUGGUAUGUUGGAAAUGAAAGUGAUUAUUUUAAUAAAGUGAGACUUGCCACAAGUGGUAAGACUGUUUUCCCUACCUUCCUUUCAACAAGUGCAUAUGAUUGAGUGCAUGAGCUCAUGUGGGGCACUUGUACAACUUGCAAUGCAUUGAAUUACUACCAAAUGCCAAUAAUGCCACUCAUCUACCCAAAGACUACAAGACCAGACCAGGCCAGGCCUAGAAGAAGACUUCAUUUCAAUUUGCAAGAAGCAUAAAGCUGCCCGAGUGAAAGAUACCAAACUCAUAUAAUUUACUACUAGAACUAGGCAUCCAUAAGGGUGUUGAAACUUGACUGUUGAUUGAUCAAAACAGACUGGCUAUGCUUCACCUUAUUCGGUAGAAUCUGAAAAGUGACUGGUAAUAAGAAAUCAAGGUAUUGAUAAAGGAAAUGACUCAGUUCUCCUCUGUGUGGCCCAAAUGUACUUAAUAGACUGAUAAAUAUCUUACAUAUUUAUAGUUUCUCUUGAAAGUGGGAUCCUUCCCUAUGGCUAUAGUUUGGUAUGUAUGAAAAGUUUCAGUUUGUUGAUUGAUGAGAAACUAGAGCUCCUGAAAACUUGCAAUUAUCUGUAUUGUAUGCUCUUUUUCUGUAAUUUGCAGUGUGUUACUAGUAGAUGUGAACAUUAUAUUUACUCCCUCUUUAUUUACUAAUCAGUAUCAUUAACCUUGAAUUUUCUUCAAGCCAAAUAGAAAUAGGAGUACCAAACCAAGUAAAUUCAUCCCCUGUUCAUGUGGAAACUUAGAAGGAAAGUUUACAAUAAGUUGGCUUAAUUAAGGUCUCAAGAUGCAUGAUUGAACUGAUGAGAAGUCAGCAUCAGAAGUCCCACCAAAAAUGUUUUGGUUUACUUUGGAUUUUCUCUUUUCUAUUUUUCUUUUAGCUUUUUAUAUAUGUAUAUAUAUGACCCGGUCCGAGUUGGAGACCAAGUCGAAAAAGGAAGGAAAUUCAAGUUUAAGAAGGAUUGAUAUUGUUUUGGGAGUAACUUUUGUUCCGUUUGGAAUUACGGGGCCCAUAAUAUAUCAAAAUGAUGCUAACGAUGAGCUCUACGAAACACAUAGCCUUUGGCCAUGAUGUAUACCGUUUGAAGCCCAAAAGGGGCUUGGAAAGAGGUGUUUUGGGCUUCCAAAGUUUUUCCCAAUUUUAUGUUUAUAGUUUAGUAUAUUUAUGUUUUAGGGAAAACUCUCAUUAUUAAUAUUAUUCUAGUUUAUGAAAUACUUGGCUAUUUAGUCAAUUUAUCCCACACUUUGUGAAUUCUUGUGAUUACAAAGUUCAUAGAUUCAAUUUCUAUGAUUGUUUCUAUUCUCGUUACUGUCUUUCGCCGUGUCAAUAUAUAUGGGUUUGUUUUGUUUUUAACCAUCUCCAUUCAUUUACAUCCUUUUAUUUUAUAUUAUUUACUUUAUUCUUAUUUUUAUUUUGGUUUAUCCUUUUAGUUUUCUUCUUGACUUUUUACUUACAAAUGGGAUUCUUUUUCAGCCCAUCCAAACUGCUUGGGAUAAAAAGCAUUGUUGAGUUGAGACUAAAAGUGAGAAUCACCAGUGGAUUAUUUUUUUAUAUAUAUAAAAAUAGAUAAGCUUGAUUAAGGGUGGGAUAGGCACAAGCGACCUUAAAGGUUAUCCUGAAUGCCCUUGACAAUUCUCUCGCCCAAUUGAAGAAAUGGCUUAUAGAUCCUUUUGCAACCGCAAUAUGAAAGUAGUUUGUAUUUGAAACAGGGAACAGAGACGAAAAGAGAAGAUUGCCUUGCAUAAAAUCAAACACCACUUUUUCUUUUAAGCUGUCAAAAUGGCUCAAAUUUAGCAUAAUGCUUAACUUUGCAACAUGUUUAUUCCCUUUUAAAUUCUUAUAAAAAGAAAAUUACAAAGUUACAAAUCAUGUUUCUUAGGUGUAGUCCUACUGACAAAAUUAUUCAAAUGUGCUUGAGCAAAUUUUUUUGCUCAAGAACCUCGGCACUCAUAUUUUUCUUGAUUAAAUCUAUUUUAACCUUUUUCUUCUUUCAUGUAGUCAAUUUCCUUGAACUCUUCACAUCAUACUGUGAUAAUUUACUUGUAUAUUGAGAUAUUGAUUCUUUGACCUGUAUUAACAUUUUGGAAGAUCUUUUGGAGGUGGCAACACUGACUCGUUAAGACCCUUUCCAUUGUCCACCAGGAAUGCCAUUUUUAGUCCCCAUGUUGUAUGUACUUCCAAGUGGCAAUGCAUGAACCAAACUCCUGCAAGUACAUGAUAAUAGUUCAAAUAACUUUUCCUAGAAAAACAAAUAUUAUCAGGAAACUGAAUUUGUUAAACAUGUGUGAAUUUUACCUGGAUUAUCUGCUCGAAAUCUAAUAGCUGUCCAUCCACCAGAUGGUACCCCAAUUGUGUUCCUCUCAACAGGGUCAACAAGAUUGAAUUUUUUGGGAUCUUUCUUCG
This 9838-nucleotide long non-coding RNA is filed under the name Panax ginseng (ginseng). Its description in RNAcentral is "long non-coding RNA (PGIN_LNC002227)". Lineage: Eukaryota; Viridiplantae; Streptophyta; Magnoliopsida; Apiales; Araliaceae. The record is from RNAcentral.